GACGUAGGGCGCGAGCGUUGUCCGGAUUUAUUGGGCGUAAAGAGCUCGUAGGCGGCUUGUCGCGUCGUCCGUGAAAACUUGGGGCUCAACCCCAAGCUUGCGGUCGAUACGGGCAGGCUAGAGUUCGGUAGGGGAGACUGGAAUUCCUGGUGUAGCGGUGAAAUGCGUAGAUAUCGUGAGGAACACCAAUUGCGAAGGCAGCUCGCUGGGACGUUACUGACGCUGAGA
This 228-nucleotide ribosomal RNA is filed under the name uncultured bacterium. RNAcentral's name for it is "partial 16S ribosomal RNA". It matches the Rfam family "Bacterial small subunit ribosomal RNA", at positions 524 to 751 of the family's 1533-position model. The record is from RNAcentral.